AUCCAAUGAUAGCUGGACAAGUCAGUAAGCCCUUGCUGUCAGUGCGGAGUGAAAUGAAUGCGGAGUUGAGAGGUGAGGACAAGGCUGCUACUUCAGACAGCGAGCUGAAUGAGCCCCUGCUUGCGCCUGUGGAAUCAAAUGACAGCGAGGACACUCCCAGCAAGCUCUUCGCCUUGAUCCUCAUUGGAAUCUGAUACAGGAGUGCCAGGACUGGUGAGAAUCACAUAAACUGGAGAAAUUGGCCAUACUCUUGUUCAAGGCUAAUCAGAGAGGCAAAUGAUGACCCUGCAAUUUCAGAAAUAAUGUUUGCAUCAUUUGUGGUUGAGCUUUGGCAUGUGAGCGAGUGUUCCUAAAGUGGAACCAGUGUGUACCAGCCCAGCACAAAGUCAGCACUCAGCAUUUGUCAUCGUGUGAGGUAUGGCAAGGAAGAGCAGCUCCUUUCAGACUCAACUGUAGCUCUAAGUGAAAUCAAUGGCCGAACAAUCUAACACAAUUGGUCACAUAUUGAUAGAAUUAAACACCGCUGUUAA
RNAcentral lists this small RNA (530 nucleotides) under Pan troglodytes (chimpanzee). Its description in RNAcentral is "processed transcript". Lineage: Eukaryota; Metazoa; Chordata; Mammalia; Primates; Hominidae. The record is from RNAcentral.